UCGGCACGUGACCAGUCCCCGCCAAUGAAACGUCAGGAAAGAUCAGCGGAGGUUCUGGGGAGGCCUCGGACACGACUGGCCUGGGGGUGACGCGCGCAGGGAGAUGGGAGGUGGCGGCCCGAGAGAAGAGGCUGCUCCUGCACCCGGGAACCCCAGUCGCUCCCUGCUCUUUGCCACGCAGAACUGGGGGUGUGUUGGUGGCCCGCGAGGGACCGAACAGGUUUCAGCUCCUUGCGGCAGAAACCCCCAGACGGACAGCAAGCAACGUGUGUCCGUCGGCGGGGAGUGCUGCGCGACACGUGUGUGCGGCGGGAUACAGCAGAGCCAUGGCAAAGAAUGGCCACGAGGUGACCUCGUGUCCUGAGAGACACCCAGCCGCGGGAGAUGCUGUCGGUUCUCAAUGAUUCUGCCCCCGAGCUGUCCCCCUCCCCGGGGACUCUUAGCAAUGCCUGGAGACACUUCUGGAGGAACGCCACCAGCAGAUAGAGGCCAGCGGCACUACCCAACAUCCUGCAGUGCAGAAGACAGCCCCACAACAAAGAAUUCUCCUGCCCAAAAUGUCAGUGGUGCCAAGGUUGAGAACCUCUGUGUUAUAUGAGAAACAACAACCCGAUAGGAUAUGGUAGAAUUCCA
Molecule: long non-coding RNA, 633 nt
Organism: Neofelis nebulosa (Clouded leopard)
Lineage: Eukaryota; Metazoa; Chordata; Mammalia; Carnivora; Felidae
Exons: 2
Source: RefSeq, a predicted model, not a curated record